RNAcentral lists this ribosomal RNA (493 nucleotides) under uncultured bacterium. RNAcentral's name for it is "bacterial SSU rRNA". It matches the Rfam family "Bacterial small subunit ribosomal RNA", at positions 28 to 519 of the family's 1533-position model. The record is from RNAcentral.
GACGAACGCUGGCGGCGUGCCUAACACAUGCAAGUCGAACGGGGUAGCAAUACCCAGUGGCGGACGGGUGCGUAACACGUGAGGAACAUGUCUUUCGGCGGGGAAGUAGCCGGCCUAACGGCCGGGUAAUACCGCGUACGACGAUCGGGGCGCAUGCCUUGAUCGUGAAAGCAGCAAUGCACCGAUAGAGUGCCUCGCGGCCUAUCAGCUAGUUGGUGAGGUAAUGGCUCACCAAGGCGACGACGGGUAGCUGGUCUGAGAGGAUGAUCAGCCACAUUGGGACUGAGACACGGCCCAGACUCCUACGGGAGGCAGCAGUGGGGAAUAUUGCGCAAUGGGCGAAAGCCUGACGCAGCGACGCCGCGUGUGGGAUGAAGGUCUUCGGAUUGUAAACCACUGGUCGGGAGGGACGAAUGUAGAGCGGCCUAAUACGCCGAGCUAUUGACUGGUACCGGUGGAGGAAGCCACGGCUAACUCUGUGCCAGCCGCCGCC